GCUAGGGGAGCAAAAGCUGAGAGACCACCUGCCGAAGGCGGUAUACCCUCAAAACCUGACCCGGAUAAUGCCGGCGUAGGAAAGCGAAC
RNAcentral lists this non-coding RNA (89 nucleotides) under bovine gut metagenome. The record is from RNAcentral.